GGAUCAUGGUACAGACCAUGGAUCACAGCAGGAGCAGCCAUGAGCUGGAGAUUUGAGGAAAAAAAGGGAAUCAGAGACUGCUUUUGGGUGGAAGAGACCUUCAAGAUCAUCUUGUUCCAACCCCCUGCCGUGGGCAGGGACACCUUCCACUAGACCAGGUUGCUCCAAGCUCCAUCCAGCCUGUCCUGGAACACUUCCAUGGAUGGGAAGGAAUUCUCUUUUAUCCCUCUUCCUUUAGGAGCACAUGGCCUUGCCCAAAUUCUGUCCAGUGGUGCCCAAAACUGCCCACAAAUGGACAGUUUUGUCCAUUUCUGUCCAUUCUGAAGCCUCUCCUAUUCCAGACCAACCAGUGACUUGUGAUUCUGGAAGGUCCUGGAGAUCCCAC
Long non-coding RNA from Melospiza melodia melodia, 385 nucleotides. RefSeq lists it as uncharacterized. The transcript is spliced from 3 exons. Lineage: Eukaryota; Metazoa; Chordata; Aves; Passeriformes; Passerellidae. The record is from RefSeq and is a predicted model, not a curated record.